This is a non-coding RNA of Vicugna pacos (alpaca), 2744 nucleotides long. Lineage: Eukaryota; Metazoa; Chordata; Mammalia; Artiodactyla; Camelidae. The record is from RefSeq and is a predicted model, not a curated record.
AGGAUUAUUGACCAGAAGGUGUGCCUCAGUGAUGGUGAACGUGGAGAGAGAUACAUCAUGUUGCUGCCUCAGAACAUUUCCUGUGAGGAGUGCUUUCCCUCCUUGGACCUACAAAGAUGGCUUUAAAGUGGGGCAUGAGAGAACAGGCAAUGGACUAGGAGUCAGUAGGUCUGUGUCCUGCCACUUAUAACCACCUGAUUUUUGGACCCCGAAUCCAACCCCUGAAACGACUGUGUCCUGGUAAAACCCCAAUCAUUGGGGUGGGAGCUAUGUUGCCAGUGCAUGCUCAGACUGUCCCUUCUGAUUCCUUGUUAACAGCUUCUUUGUCCUCCUGAUUCACAGGUAUCAGAACUUGUCAGGAGCAAGAAAUAGAAAACUCAGCUCAAACUGGCUCAAGCAGAAAAGGAUAUUUGUUGGCUUAGGUCACUCAUUUAGAUCAAGGCACUGGGGAUCUAGGGACGCCAAUGGCCUCAUCAGGACCCGGUUUCUUGCCAUCUCUCAGUUCUGCUUUCCCCUGUGUUGACUCUAUUUUCAGCAGGCUUGCUCCUCCUAGUGGCAAAAUGGCUGCAGAAAUGCUCAGCUUAUAUCCUCAAAGCUUCAACUUCUGUGAAGUAGAGAGCUAGCCUCUGACCCAGCAUUCUUGGCAAAAGUCUCCUUGCGUUUCACUGGCUUUGGAAAAAUCAUGGGAUGCUCCUGAUUUGGGAUGAGGUCAAAGUUUCCCCCACCCCACAACUGCAGGAGGUGAAGUUCCACUUGAAUCACUUGGGCUAAAACUGGGGGGAAGUUUGAUCCCAAAUGAAAAGUGGGGGUGUGGCAAGAAGAGGGAAUGGAUGGAUGCAGUGGUACCCUCAUUACUUUACCUCCCAAAAUGUAGCCUGAAGGCUGACAAAGACUCUUUGACCAAACUUCAGUCAGGCUCCUCUGAGCCCUCUUCUCAACAAAGCCUUGAUCUUGGGCUUCCGUGUUCACCUUUUCUCUGCCUUGUUUUAGCAAGAAUCCUGUUUAAGUUGGUUUAGACUGAAUCUCCACCCUCGACAUCUGAUGAAAUUUUUCAUCCUCCACCAUCCCUCAGAGGCGUGAGGAGGCUGGAGCGGGAGCCCUCAGACCUGCCCAGUAGACCUGCAAAGGCUUCCCGGCCAAGUGAUGGCUAAGGAGAUUCUAGAAGGAUGAGGGAAGAUGGAGCACCCAGGACACUGUCAACUCCAAGAAGUUGAGGCUCAUCCUUGUUGUGUUCACAUCUUGUCUCCAGGACCCUGCACGGAGCCCACUGCAUAACAGACACAGGCGUCCCCGCUGAGGAGGCAGCCAUGCCAGCCCUGUCAUCUCACUGAUCGACCCUGGCUGACUCCAUCCACGUCGGGGCAGGAAGGACCAAACACCAGAAGGUGGGGCAGGCACGGCUCCCACGGCCAGGGAGCCUCCCCUGGUCGUCUGCUCCCCCGCCGGGAAUUCUCAGGACAACUUCUGCCUUUCAAAGGGGUGGGGCUGCUGCCUGCCCUCCGGCCGGUCCCUUCGUCCUGCUGGGCUUUCUGACUUCCCUAUCCUCCCCUCCUUGAAUGCUUACUGGCACACUCUGUGGCAGGUCGGGUGCAAACCCCUUGCUUUGAAUCUGACUCCAAGAGUGGCAAGAAAUGGAACUGGCCAUACUUUCUACAUGCCUCCAUUUCCUGGCCUCUGGAACGGGCACAGUCAUGUAUCUCAUGCCACAUUUUGUCUUGUAAUCUUGGUCAGAGAAAAAAAACAGACACCCACACAUUUUGCAUGUCAUGGCAAGGGGCUGACAGAAGCUGUUAAGUCCACCCACUAGCCCUAGGCUGAGAUAUGAUGAGCUAGACAAAAAUUGGACACAACCUAAAUUGUCCAUCAACUGGUAAAUGGAUAGUCAGAUGUGAUACAGCCUUAGCAUGGAAUACUACUCAGCAAUGAAAAGGAACUGUUUACAGAUAAUGCAAUGACACAGAUGAAACUUCAAAAAUAUUAUGCUCAGGAAAGGAAGCCAUACACAAGAGACCCGUAUAGUGUAUGGUCUACUUAUAUAAAAGAUCCAAAACUAUAAAGACAGAAAGUAGACUAGUGGCUGCUUGGGACAGAGACAGGAACUAACAGUAAAUGUGCAUGAAGGAUCAUAUGGGAAUGAUGAAAUGUUAUAAUACUGAUAUGGGGAUGGUUGCAUAACUUAUUAAAAAAAAUACAGGCAUAUCUUGAAGAUAUUUCAGGUUUGGUUCCAGACCACCACAGUAAAGUAAAUAUCACAAUACAGUGAGUCACAUGAACUUUUUUGGUUUUCCAAUGCAUAUAAAAGUUAUGUUUACACUAUACUGUAGUCUAUUGAGUGUACAAUAGUGUUAUAUCUAAAAUACAAUGUAUGUUACACAUCUUAAUUUAAAAAAUGCUUCAUUGCUUGUGAUAUCCAAUGGGGAGUGUGUGAUUGUCCCAGGGGCUGGGAGCAUACAUAAUGGACUUUCAGAUGCGAUGGAUGCGGGGGCUAGAAGUCCCACAACCUGCAAGGAGUUUCAGGAGUAGAGUCAGGAUGGAAGUAUCUCAGGCCACUGGGCCAUGUGUUCUCUGUCACGCAUACCUGAUGUUGCCGUGGGAGUGUAGAAACAUUGCAGGGCAUUACUGAAUCCCAAUAAACCUUUAUUUAAAACAAUACUUCAUUGCUAAAAAAUGCUCACCACCAUCUGAGCCUUCAGCAAGUAGUAGCAGUAACAUCAAAGAUCAGUGACCAGGAUCACUGUCACAAA